CCUACGGGAGGCAGCAGUGAGGAAUAUUGGUCAAUGGGCGGAAGCCUGAACCAGCCAAGUCGCGUGAGGGAAUAAGGCCCUACGGGUCGUAAACCUCUUUUGCCGGGGAGCAAGGUCGGGGACGUGUCCCGGCCCGUGGAGUACCCGGAGAAAAAGCAUCGGCUAACUCCGUGCCAGCAGCCGCGGUAAUACGUAGGAUGCGAGCGUUCUCCGGAUUUAUUGGGUUUAAGGGGUGCGUAGGCGGGCUUUUAAGUCAGCGGUAAAAAUUCGGGGCUCAACCCCGUCCGGCCGUUGAAACUGGGGAUCUUGAGUGGGCGAGAAGUAUGCGGAAUGCGCGGUGUAGCGGUGAAAUGCAUAGAUAUCACGCAGAACUCCGAUUGCGAAGGCAGCAUACCGGCGCCCGACUGACGCUGAGGCACGAAAGCGUGGGGAUCGAACAGGAUUAGAUACCCCUGUAGUC
RNAcentral lists this ribosomal RNA (460 nucleotides) under uncultured bacterium. RNAcentral describes it as "partial 16S ribosomal RNA". It matches the Rfam family "Bacterial small subunit ribosomal RNA", at positions 338 to 795 of the family's 1533-position model. The record is from RNAcentral.